RNAcentral lists this long non-coding RNA (329 nucleotides) under Anser brachyrhynchus (Pink-footed goose). RNAcentral describes it as "lncRNA (ENSABRG00000022644.1)". The record is from RNAcentral. Lineage: Eukaryota; Metazoa; Chordata; Aves; Anseriformes; Anatidae.
AGCAAUCAUCCCAAAGGAGAGACAUCUCCCAGCUCCCCAGUCAUCCUGUUGGAGGUCUGUUUUGCUCUAUACAGGCAGAUCAGGUUCCAAAAAGCAUCAUGUUUCUGGAGGAAGAACACUGACAAAAUCAAAGCAUGUGUGAGGAAGAGCCAAGCUGAAGCCAGGAAGGCGUUCAUCUGUCGUUUGGUCUCCAUACAUUUCACCAGAGCUCGCAAGGAGAAGCAGCAGUGCAAGUUUAUUUUAGCCAACCAAGUCAGUUGCUGGGACCACAGCAUCUCUUCCAGGAAACCAAAAAGCCUCUUAAAACAUCUUCAGAAACUUAACAGGUA